AUCAACGCUGGCGGCGUGCCUCAGACAUGCAAGUCGAACGCGAAAGUCCCCUUCGGGGGGAUAAGUAGAGUGGCGCACGGGUGAGUAACACGUAGGUAAUCUACCUUCGGAUGGGGAAUAACAACCGGAAACGGUUGCUAAUACCGCAUAAUGCAGCGGCACCUAAUGGUGACAGUUGUUAAAGCGGGGGAUCGAAAGACCUCGCGUCUAAAGAGGAGCCUGCGGCGGAUUAGCUAGUUGGAGGGUAACGGCCUACCAAGGCGACGAUCCGUAGCCGGCCUGAGAGGGCGGUCGGGCCACACUGACACUGACAUACGGGUCAGACUCCUACGGGAGGCAGCAGUCGGGAAUUUUGGGCAAUGGGCGAAAGCCUGACCCAGCAACGCCGCGUGAAGGAUG
Molecule: ribosomal RNA, 399 nt
Filed under: uncultured bacterium
Lineage: Bacteria
Description: bacterial SSU rRNA
Rfam family: Bacterial small subunit ribosomal RNA
Source: RNAcentral